AGUGAACGCUGGCGGUAGGCCUAACACAUGCAAGUCGAACGGCAGCACAGUAAGAGCUUGCUCUUACGGGUGGCGAGUGGCGGACGGGUGAGGAAUACAUCGGAAUCUACUUUUUCGUGGGGGAUAACGUAGGGAAACUUACGCUAAUACCGCAUACGACCUACGGGUGAAAGCAGGGGAUCUUCGGACCUUGCGCGAUUGAAUGAGCCGAUGUCGGAUUAGCUAGUUGGCGGGGUAAAGGCCCACCAAGGCGACGAUCCGUAGCUGGUCUGAGAGGAUGAUCAGCGACACUGGAACUGAGACACGGUCCAGACUCCUACGGGAGGCAGCAGUGGGGAAUAGUGGACAAUGGGCGCAAGCAUGAUCCAGCCAUACCGCGUGGGUGAAGAAGGCCUUCGGGUUGUAAAGACCUUUUGUUGGGAAAGAAAAGCAGCAGGUUAAGACCACGCUGUUCUGACGGUACCCAAAGAAUAAGCACCGGCUAACUUCGUG
This 492-nucleotide ribosomal RNA is filed under the name uncultured bacterium. RNAcentral's name for it is "partial 16S ribosomal RNA". It matches the Rfam family "Bacterial small subunit ribosomal RNA", at positions 29 to 507 of the family's 1533-position model. The record is from RNAcentral.